This 253-nucleotide ribosomal RNA is filed under the name uncultured bacterium. Its description in RNAcentral is "partial 16S ribosomal RNA". It matches the Rfam family "Bacterial small subunit ribosomal RNA", at positions 524 to 776 of the family's 1533-position model. The record is from RNAcentral.
UACGUAGGGUGCGAGCGUUAAUCGGAAUUACUGGGCGUAAAGGGCGCGUAGGCGGCCUGCUAAGUCGAACGUGAAAUCCCGGGGCUCAACUCCGGAACUGCCUUUGAGACUGCAUCGCUUGAAUCCAGGAGAGGUGAGUGGAAUUCCGAGUGUAGAGGUGAAAUUCGUAGAUAUUCGGAAGAACACCAGUGGCGAAGGCGGCUCACUGGACUGGUAUUGACGCUGAGGUGCGAAAGCGUGGGGAGCAAACAGG